CCUACGGGAGGCAGCAGUGAGGAAUAUUGGUCAAUGGGCGCGAGCCUGAACCAGCCAAGUAGCGUGAAGGAUGACUGCCCUACGGGUUGUCAACUUCUUGUAUAAAGGAAUAAAGUGAGGCACGUGUGCCUUUUCGUAUGUACUUGAUGAAUAAGGAUCGGAUACCUCCGUGAAAGCAGCAGCGGUAAUACGGAGGAUCCGAGCGUUAUCCGGAUUUAUUGGGUUUAAAGGGAGCGUAGGUGGGUUGGUAAGUAAGUUGUGAAAGUUUGCGGCUCAACCGUCAAAUUGCAAUUGAUACUGGCAGUCUUGAGUACAGUUGAGGUAGGCGGAAUUCGUAGUGUAGCGGUGAAAUGCUUAGAUAGCACG
RNAcentral lists this ribosomal RNA (366 nucleotides) under uncultured bacterium. RNAcentral's name for it is "partial 16S ribosomal RNA". It matches the Rfam family "Bacterial small subunit ribosomal RNA", at positions 338 to 701 of the family's 1533-position model. The record is from RNAcentral.